RNAcentral lists this ribosomal RNA (851 nucleotides) under Streptomonospora sp. H231. RNAcentral describes it as "bacterial SSU rRNA". It matches the Rfam family "Bacterial small subunit ribosomal RNA", at positions 20 to 871 of the family's 1533-position model. The record is from RNAcentral. Lineage: Bacteria; Bacillati; Actinomycetota; Actinomycetes; Streptosporangiales; Nocardiopsidaceae.
UGGCUCAGGACGAACGCUGGCGGCGUGCUUAACACAUGCAAGUCGAGCGGUAAGGCCCUUCGGGGUACACGAGCGGCGAACGGGUGAGUAACACGUGAGCAACCUGCCCCUGACUCCGGGAUAAGCCGGGGAAACCCGGUCUAAUACCGGAURGGACGCCUCGUCGCAUGGCGGGGUGUGGAAAGGUGUCUUUCCGGUCAGGGAGGGGCUCGCGGCCUAUCAGCUUGUUGGUGGGGUGAAGGCCUACCAAGGCGAUUACGGGUAGCCGGCCUGAGAGGGCGACCGGCCACACUGGGACUGAGACACGGCCCAGACUCCUACGGGAGGCAGCAGUGGGGAAUAUUGCGCAAUGGGCGGAAGCCUGACGCAGCGACGCCGCGUGGGGGAUGACGGCCUUCGGGUUGUAAACCUCUUUUACCACCGACGCAGGCCCGCGCUUCUGUGCGGGUUGACGGUAGGUGGGGAAUAAGGACCGGCCAACUACGUGCCAGCAGCCGCGGUAAUACGUAGGGUCCGAGCGUUGUCCGGAAUUAUUGGGCGUAAAGAGCUCGUAGGUGGCGUGUCGCGUCUGCUGUGUAAGUCCGGGGCUUAACUCCGGUUUUGCAGUGGAUACGGGCAUGCUAGAGGUAGGCAGGGGAGACUGGAAUUCCUGGUGUAGCGGUGAAAUGCGCAGAUAUCAGGAGGAACACCGGUGGCGAAGGCGGGUCUCUGGGCCUUACCUGACGCUGAGGAGCGAAAGCGUGGGGAGCGAACAGGAUUAGAUACCCUGGUAGUCCACGCUGUAAACGUUGGGCGCUAGGUGUGGGGACUUUCCACGGUUUCCGUGCCGUGCUAACGCAUUAAGCGCCCCG